This 469-nucleotide long non-coding RNA is filed under the name Physcomitrium patens. Its description in RNAcentral is "long non-coding RNA (PPAT_LNC006385)". Lineage: Eukaryota; Viridiplantae; Streptophyta; Bryopsida; Funariales; Funariaceae. The record is from RNAcentral.
UCUACAAAUUCCUUCUAUAGUCUUGGUCCUCAAAGCUCUACCUUCAACAAAUUUAGAGAGUUCUUCUCUAACCAAGAUAAGAUAUUUCAUAUCCCAUAAUCCUAAAGGCAUGGCUACUAAGUCAAUCAUCCAUUGAAAGUACACGGUAAGUGAAUAGCUAGGAUAUAAUUCAUCCAUGUAUUUAUUUUUAGAUUGUAAUUGAUAUUCUAUACAAGAAGCAAAAAAUUCUUCCACAUCUUUGUAAAGACCUUUCCACCAAUAUCAUUCUUUGAUUUUGUUGCAGGUAGUCCAAAUUCCUCUAUGCCCUACCCAAAGGGUAUCAUAAAAUUCUUUAAGAAUCUGAUUUUUAGUCUCUAUAUCAUCAAUCAUCGUUAAUGGCACUCCAACUUUUUUUUUGGCCUUUUCUACAAAAAACUAUCCUUUAGAAGAUAGUUAUAAGACUGGUGUCUAAUAUCUUUAAAGAUCUUGU